RNAcentral lists this transfer RNA (77 nucleotides) under Halobacillus sp. BAB-2008. RNAcentral's name for it is "tRNA-Asp". The stretch from base 1 to 58 matches the Rfam family "tRNA", at positions 15 to 71 of the family's 71-position model. From Rfam's summary of the family: Transfer RNA (tRNA) molecules are approximately 80 nucleotides in length. Their secondary structure includes four short double-helical elements and three loops (D, anti-codon, and T loops). The record is from RNAcentral. Lineage: Bacteria; Bacillati; Bacillota; Bacilli; Caryophanales; Bacillaceae.
GCGGUUAAGACACCGCCCUUUCACGGCGGUAACACGGGUUCGAAUCCCGUACGGGUCACUUUCAAUCUUUACAUAGG